Molecule: ribosomal RNA, 2891 nt
Filed under: Pseudomonas aeruginosa
Lineage: Bacteria; Pseudomonadati; Pseudomonadota; Gammaproteobacteria; Pseudomonadales; Pseudomonadaceae
Description: 23S ribosomal RNA
Rfam family: Bacterial large subunit ribosomal RNA
Source: RNAcentral
GGUCAAGUGAAGAAGCGCAUACGGUGGAUGCCUUGGCAGUCAGAGGCGAUGAAAGACGUGGUAGCCUGCGAAAAGCUUCGGGGAGUCGGCAAACAGACUUUGAUCCGGAGAUCUCUGAAUGGGGGAACCCACCUAGGAUAACCUAGGUAUCUUGUACUGAAUCCAUAGGUGCAAGAGGCGAACCAGGGGAACUGAAACAUCUAAGUACCCUGAGGAAAAGAAAUCAACCGAGAUUCCCUUAGUAGUGGCGAGCGAACGGGGAUUAGCCCUUAAGCUUCAUUGAUUUUAGCGGAACGCUCUGGAAAGUGCGGCCAUAGUGGGUGAUAGCCCCGUACGCGAAAGGAUCUUUGAAGUGAAAUCGAGUAGGACGGAGCACGAGAAACUUUGUCUGAACAUGGGGGGACCAUCCUCCAAGGCUAAAUACUACUGACUGACCGAUAGUGAACCAGUACCGUGAGGGAAAGGCGAAAAGAACCCCGGAGAGGGGAGUGAAAUAGAACCUGAAACCGUAUGCGUACAAGCAGUGGGAGCCUACUUGUUAGGUGACUGCGUACCUUUUGUAUAAUGGGUCAGCGACUUAUAUUCAGUGGCAAGCUUAACCGUAUAGGGUAGGCGUAGCGAAAGCGAGUCUUAAUAGGGCGUUUAGUCGCUGGGUAUAGACCCGAAACCGGGCGAUCUAUCCAUGAGCAGGUUGAAGGUUAGGUAACACUGACUGGAGGACCGAACCCACUCCCGUUGAAAAGGUAGGGGAUGACUUGUGGAUCGGAGUGAAAGGCUAAUCAAGCUCGGAGAUAGCUGGUUCUCCUCGAAAGCUAUUUAGGUAGCGCCUCAUGUAUCACUCUGGGGGGUAGAGCACUGUUUCGGCUAGGGGGUCAUCCCGACUUACCAAACCGAUGCAAACUCCGAAUACCCAGAAGUGCCGAGCAUGGGAGACACACGGCGGGUGCUAACGUCCGUCGUGAAAAGGGAAACAACCCAGACCGCCAGCUAAGGUCCCAAAGUUGUGGUUAAGUGGUAAACGAUGUGGGAAGGCUUAGACAGCUAGGAGGUUGGCUUAGAAGCAGCCAUCCUUUAAAGAAAGCGUAAUAGCUCACUAGUCGAGUCGGCCUGCGCGGAAGAUGUAACGGGGCUCAAACCACACACCGAAGCUGCGGGUGUCACGUAAGUGACGCGGUAGAGGAGCGUUCUGUAAGCCUGUGAAGGUGAGUUGAGAAGCUUGCUGGAGGUAUCAGAAGUGCGAAUGCUGACAUGAGUAACGACAAUGGGUGUGAAAAACACCCACGCCGAAAGACCAAGGGUUCCUGCGCAACGUUAAUCGACGCAGGGUUAGUCGGUUCCUAAGGCGAGGCUGAAAAGCGUAGUCGAUGGGAAACAGGUUAAUAUUCCUGUACUUCUGGUUACUGCGAUGGAGGGACGGAGAAGGCUAGGCCAGCUUGGCGUUGGUUGUCCAAGUUUAAGGUGGUAGGCUGAAAUCUUAGGUAAAUCCGGGGUUUCAAGGCCGAGAGCUGAUGACGAGUCGUCUUUUAGAUGACGAAGUGGUUGAUGCCAUGCUUCCAAGAAAAGCUUCUAAGCUUCAGGUAACCAGGAACCGUACCCCAAACCGACACAGGUGGUCGGGUAGAGAAUACCAAGGCGCUUGAGAGAACUCGGGUGAAGGAACUAGGCAAAAUGGCACCGUAACUUCGGGAGAAGGUGCGCCGGCUAGGGUGAAGGAUUUACUCCGUAAGCCUGGCUGGUCGAAGAUACCAGGCCGCUGCGACUGUUUAUUAAAAACACAGCACUCUGCAAACACGAAAGUGGACGUAUAGGGUGUGACGCCUGCCCGGUGCCGGAAGGUUAUUGAUGGGUUAGCGCAAGCGAAGCUCUUGAUCGAAGCCCCGGUAAACGGCGGCCGUAACUAUAACGGUCCUAAGGUAGCGAAAUUCCUUGUCGGGUAAGUUCCGACCUGCACGAAUGGCGUAACGAUGGCGGCGCUGUCUCCAACCCGAGACUCAGUGAAAUUGAAAUCGCUGUGAAGAUGCAGUGUAUCCGCGGCUAGACGAAAGACCCGUGAACCUUUACUGUAGCUUUGCACUGGACUUUGAGCCUGCUUGUGUAGGAUAGGUGGGAGGCUUUGAAGCGUGGACGCCAGUUCGCGUGGAGCCAUCCUUGAAAUACCACCCUGGCAUGCUUGAGGUUCUAACUCUGGUCCGUGAUCCGGAUCGAGGACAGUGUAUGGUGGGCAGUUUGACUGGGGCGGCUCCUCCUAAAGAGUAACGGAGGGUACGAAGGUGCGCUCAGACGGUCGGAAAUCGGUCGCAGAGUAUAAAGGCAAAAGCGCGCUUGACUGCGAGACAGACACGUCGAGCAGGUACGAAAGUAGGUCUUAGUGAUCCGGUGGUUCUGUAUGGAAGGGCCAUCGCUCAACGGAUAAAGGUACUCCGGGAUAACAGGCUGAUACCGCCCAAGAGUUCAUAUCGACGGCGGUGUUUGGCACCUCGAUGUCGGCUCAUCACACUCAUCCCAUUCUGGGGCUGAAGCCGGUCCCAAGGGUAUGGCUGUUCGCCAUUUAAAGUGGUACGCGAGCUGGGUUUAGAACGUCGUGAGACAGUUCGGUCCCUAUCUGCCGUGGACGUUUGAGAUUUGAGAGGGGCUGCUCCUAGUACGAGAGGACCGGAGUGGACGAACCUCUGGUGUUCCGGUUGUCACGCCAGUGGCAUUGCCGGGUAGCUAUGUUCGGAAAAGAUAACCGCUGAAAGCAUCUAAGCGGGAAACUUGCCUCAAGAUGAGAUCUCACUGGGAACUUGAUUCCCCUGAAGGGCCGUCGAAGACUACGACGUUGAUAGGCUGGGUGUGUAAGCGUUGUGAGGCGUUGAGCUAACCAGUACUAAUUGCCCGUGAGGCUUGACCAU